RNAcentral lists this ribosomal RNA (429 nucleotides) under uncultured bacterium. Its description in RNAcentral is "bacterial SSU rRNA". It matches the Rfam family "Bacterial small subunit ribosomal RNA", at positions 29 to 462 of the family's 1533-position model. The record is from RNAcentral.
AUUGAACGCUGGCGGAAUGCUUUACACAUGCAAGUCGAGCGGCAGCGCGGGGCAACCUGGCGGCGAGCGGCGAACGGGUGAGUAACAUAUCGGAACGUACCCAGUCGUGGGGGAUAACUAUCCGAAAGGAUAGCUAAUACCGCAUACGACCUGAGGGUGAAAGGGGGGGAUCGCAAGACCUCUCGCGAUUGGAGCGGCCGAUAUCGGAUUAGCUAGUUGGUGAGGUAAAGGCUCACCAAGGCGACGAUCCGUAGCUGGUCUGAGAGGACGGCCCGCCACACUGGGACUGAGACACGGCCCAGACUCCUACGGGAGGCAGCAGUGGGGAAUUUUGGACAAUGGGGGGCAACCCUGAUCCAGCCAUUCCGCGUGAGUGAAGAAGGCCUUCGGUUGUAAGCUCUUCGGUCAGGAACGAAACGGACGGGCGUC